Non-coding RNA from Elaeis guineensis (African oil palm), 599 nucleotides. Lineage: Eukaryota; Viridiplantae; Streptophyta; Magnoliopsida; Arecales; Arecaceae. The record is from RefSeq and is a predicted model, not a curated record.
ACAAAGAAGCAGCUGACUAAACAGCGUCAGCAGCACUUUCCCUUCGACUACCCCUUGUGAGGUAAAGGAGGCCAACGGCACCGGCCCGCUCACCGCCUUGGCUUGGUCUUAUCUAAAUCCGCGUCCCGAGACGGGAAAUCGAGUCCUCUCCCAAAAUCUCUCCCCGUUUGAGAAUCCGAGAUCGAGGUCGAUCCCUGAAACUCUAAUCUGUCCCAUUAGAAGCAAAACCCUCGUUCUUGACUCGCGUGGAUCGAAGCCGGAAGACUGGUGAAGGCCGAGAAGUGGUUUUCUUGUCGGAUGGGAAUGGAUUCGUAGCGAAAGAUUAGAUUUUGAAGAGAACUACACGGUUAUUUAAGGCAAGGUCAUGGCCAUUCUGAACUACAACCUGGUAGUAAGACAAUUUUCUGCUUCCAGAGGCCAUGGCAAAGCUCCUUAAGUCGGCAACCAUCUCAAAAGUCUAGUUAUAUUAUGCAAACUCAGCCGUCCUUCCGCUACAACAAAAAUAGCCUACAACAACAAAAUUUUCUUAACACUUAGGAAAAAAUAUUAUUGUAAAUGCUCUCUCGUAAUGCUCUUAAGAAAUAACACCGAAGAUUCAU